This 1244-nucleotide ribosomal RNA is filed under the name metagenome. Its description in RNAcentral is "SSU rRNA". It matches the Rfam family "Eukaryotic small subunit ribosomal RNA", at positions 527 to 1786 of the family's 1831-position model. The record is from RNAcentral.
AAAUCGUUCGACGAGGAUCUAUUGGAGGGCAAGUCUGGUGCCAGCAGCCGCGGUAAUUCCAGCUCCAAUAGCGUAUAUUAAAGUUGUUGCAGUUAAAAAGCUCGUAGUUGGAUCUGGGGUUCGGGUCGGCGGUUUGCCGCUUCGGCGGCUACUGCCGUGCUCGACUCUUACUAGCCGGUGCGUCUUGCGGUGCUCUUCAUCGAGUGCCGUAGGAGCCUGGCAUGUUUACUUUGAAAAAAUUAGAGUGCUCAAAGCAGGCGAUUCCGCCUGAAUAGUGUUGCAUGGAAUAAUGGAAUAGGACCUCGGUUCUAUUUUGUUGGUUUUCGGAACUUGAGGUAAUGAUUAAGAGGGACGGUCGGGGGCAUUCGUAUUUCGGUGUUAGAGGUGAAAUUCUUGGAUCGCUGAAAGACGGACAAAUGCGAAAGCAUCUGCCAAGAACGUCUCCAUUAAUCAAGAACGAAAGUCAGAGGUUCGAAGACGAUCAGACACCGUCCUAGUUCUGACCAUAAACGAUGCCAACUAGCGAUCCGCAGUGGUUGCUAUAAACGGACUCUGCGAGCAGCUUCCGGGAAACCAAAGUGUUUGGGUUCCGGGGGAAGUAUGGUUGCAAAGCUGAAACUUAAAGGAAUUGACGGAAGGGCACCACCAGGAGUGGAGCCUGCGGCUUAAUUUGACUCAACAUGGGGAAACUCACCCGGUCCGGACACUGUAAGGAUUGACAGAUCGAGAGCUCUUUCUUGAUUCGGUGGAUGGUGGUGCAUGGCCGUUCUUAGUUGGUGGAGUGAUUUGUCUGGUUAAUUCCGAUAACGAACGAGGCUCUAGCCUGCUAACUAGUUGCGCCGUGUUCAUACGCGGCUGUAGACUUCUUAGAGGGACAGGUGGCGUUUAGCCACACGAAAUUGAGCAAUAACAGGUCUGUGAUGCCCUUAGAUGUCCGGGGCCGCACGCGCGCUACACUGAAGGAGUCAGCGUGUGCUAUCCGGGCUCGGAAGAGUUCGGUAACCCGUUGAAACUCCUUCGUGCUUGGGAUUGUGGCUUGUAAUUAUCGCGCAUGAACGAGGAAUUCCCAGUAAGUGCAAGUCAUCAGCUUGCGCUGACUACGUCCCUGCCCUUUGUACACACCGCCCGUCGCUACUACCGAUUGAAUGGUUUAGCAAGGUACUCGGAUUGGUCUCGAUCUUGUACGAAAGUGCGGGAUCUGUGGCCGAGAAGAAGGCCAAACUUGAUCAUUUAGAGGAAGUAAA